This is a long non-coding RNA of Rosa rugosa (rugosa rose), 294 nucleotides long. RefSeq lists it as uncharacterized. The transcript has 4 exons. NCBI's taxonomy places the organism in Eukaryota, Viridiplantae, Streptophyta, Magnoliopsida, Rosales, Rosaceae. The record is from RefSeq and is a predicted model, not a curated record.
UAUAGUGGUUCGUGGGGGUCCAGGAGGUGGAACUUCCCCAAAUAAUCGAAGAUUCUUUGAUCCUGAGUUUUACAGAAUCAUCCUAUUUGAUCAGCGAGGUUCAGCGAAAAGUACUCCACAUGCUUGCUUGGAAGAAAACACCACAUGGGAUCUCAUUAGUGACAUUGAAAAGCUCAGAGAACACCUGGAAAUUCCAGAAUGGCAGGUUUUUGGUGGGUCUUGGGGGAGUACCCUUGCCCUUGCAUAUAGCCAAUCACACCCUGAGAAGGUUACUGGCAUGGUCCUGAGUGGGAG